UUAAGCGACUAAGCGUACACGGUGGAUGCCCUGGCAGUCAGAGGCGAUGAAGGACGUGCUAAUCUGCGAAAAGCGCCGGCGAGGUGAUAUGAACCUUUGACCCGGCGAUGUCCGAAUGGGGAAACCCAGUGCAAUCCGUUGCACUAUCGUUAACUGAAUACAUAGGUUAACGAGGCGAACCGGGGGAACUGAAACAUCUAAGUACCCCGAGGAAAAGAAAUCAACCGAGAUUCCCCCAGUAGCGGCGAGCGAACGGGGAGCAGCCCGGAGUCUGAAUCAGCUUGUGUGUUAGUGGAACGGUCUGGAAAGUCCGACGGUACAGGGUGAUAGUCCCGUACACGAAAGCACACUUGCUGUGAACUCGAAGAGUAGGGCGGGACACGUGGUAUCCUGUCUGAAUAUGGGGGGACCAUCCUCCAAGGCUAAAUACUCCUGACUGACCGAUAGUGAACCAGUACCGUGAGGGAAAGGCGAAAAGAACCCCGGCGAGGGGAGUGAAAAAGAACCUGAAACCGUGUACGUACAAGCAGUGGGAGCCUCUUUAUGGGGUGACUGCGUACCUUUUGUAUAAUGGGUCAGCGACUUAUAUUCUGUAGCAAGGUUAACCGUAUAGGGGAGCCGAAGGGAAACCGAGUCUUAACUGGGCGUUAAGUUGCAGGGUAUAGACCCGAAACCCGGUGAUCUAGCCAUGGGCAGGUUGAAGGUUGGGUAACACUAACUGGAGGACCGAACCGACUAAUGUUGAAAAAUUAGCGGAUGACCUGUGGCUGGGGGUGAAAGGCCAAUCAAACCGGGAGAUAGCUGGUUCUCCCCGAAAGCUAUUUAGGUAGCGCCUCGUGAACUCAUCUUCGGGGGUAGAGCACUGUUUCGGCUAGGGGGCCAUCCCGGCUUACCAACCCGAUGCAAACUACGAAUACCGAAGAAUGUUAUCACGGGAGACACACGGCGGGUGCUAACGUCCGUCGUGAAGAGGGAAACAACCCAGACCGCCAGCUAAGGUCCCAAAGUCAUGGUUAAGUGGGAAACGAUGUGGGAAGGCACAGACAGCCAGGAUGUUGGCUUAGAAGCAGCCAUCAUUUAAAGAAAGCGUAAUAGCUCACUGGUCGAGUCGGCCUGCGCGGAAGAUGUAACGGGGCUAAACCAUGCACCGAAGCUGCGGCAGCGACGCUUAUGCGUUGUUGGGUAGGGGAGCGUUCUGUAAGCCGUUGAAGGUGUCCUGUGAGGGGUGCUGGAGGUAUCAGAAGUGCGAAUGCUGACAUAAGUAACGAUAAAGCGGGUGAAAAGCCCGCUCGCCGGAAGACCAAGGGUUCCUGUCCAACGUUAAUCGGGGCAGGGUGAGUCGACCCCUAAGGCGAGGCCGAAAGGCGUAGUCGAUGGGAAACAGGUUAAUAUUCCUGUACUUGGUGUUACUGCGAAGGGGGGACGGAGAAGGCUAUGUCAGCCGGGCGACGGUUGUCCCGGUUUAAGCAUGUAGGCGGAGGUUCCAGGUAAAUCCGGUACCUUNGAAGUGAAACAUCUUCGGGUUGUGAG
RNAcentral lists this ribosomal RNA (1530 nucleotides) under Enterobacter sp. MGH 2. RNAcentral describes it as "bacterial LSU rRNA". It matches the Rfam family "Bacterial large subunit ribosomal RNA", at positions 1 to 1577 of the family's 2925-position model. Lineage: Bacteria; Pseudomonadati; Pseudomonadota; Gammaproteobacteria; Enterobacterales; Enterobacteriaceae. The record is from RNAcentral.